CUAACACUAACGGGCGGCAAUGGUAAGUAAACACAACCCCAGCUCUGGGGUGUCAUCACGUAAGGUUGCAAACCUUGAGAAGGAGACUAUAGUCUCCCGGGGCUU
This 105-nucleotide transfer RNA is filed under the name Haplophryne mollis. Its description in RNAcentral is "tRNA-Cys". The record is from RNAcentral. Lineage: Eukaryota; Metazoa; Chordata; Actinopteri; Lophiiformes; Linophrynidae.